RNAcentral lists this ribosomal RNA (253 nucleotides) under uncultured bacterium. Its description in RNAcentral is "partial 16S ribosomal RNA". It matches the Rfam family "Bacterial small subunit ribosomal RNA", at positions 524 to 776 of the family's 1533-position model. The record is from RNAcentral.
UACGUAGGGGGCUAGCGUUGUCCGGAAUCAUUGGGCGUAAAGAGCUCGUAGGCGGUCUGUCGCGUCUGCUGUGAAAAUCCAGGGCUCAACCCUGGACCUGCAGUGGGUACGGGCAGACUAGAGUGCGGUAGGGGAGAUCGGAAUUCCUGGUGUAGCGGUGAAAUGCGCAGAUAUCAGGAGGAACACCGGUGGCGAAGGCGGAUCUCUGGGCCGUAACUGACGCUGAGGAGCGAAAGCAUGGGGAGCGAACAGG